GACGAACGCUGGCGGCGUGCCUAACACAUGCAAGUCGAACGAAGCAUAGCAAUAUGCUUAGUGGCGGACGGGUGAGUAACGCGUGAACAAUCUGCCCUGUACAAAGGAAUAGCCUCGGGAAACCGGGAUUAAAACCGUAUGACACUUUAGUAUCGCAUGAUAAGAAAGUCAAAUCGAUUAGAGGUAUGGGAUGAGUUCGCGUCUGAUUAGCUGGUUGGCGGGGUAACGGCCCACCAAGGCGACGAUCAGUAGCCGGCCUGAGAGGGUGAACGGCCACACUGGAACUGAGACACGGUCCAGACUCCUACGGGAGGCAGCAGUGGGGAAUAUUGCACAAUGGAGGGAACUCUGAUGCAGCGACGCCGCGUGAGUGAAGAAGGUCUUCGGAUCGUAAAACUCUGUCCUUGGUGAAGAAAAGGACGGUAGCCAAGGAGGAAGCCCCGGUAACUACGUGCCAGCAGCCGCGGUAAAACGUGCGUG
RNAcentral lists this ribosomal RNA (480 nucleotides) under uncultured bacterium. RNAcentral's name for it is "bacterial SSU rRNA". It matches the Rfam family "Bacterial small subunit ribosomal RNA", at positions 28 to 533 of the family's 1533-position model. The record is from RNAcentral.